ACUGCCCCUAGAGGAUUUACAGGUAUGGCUGCUGUGUCACAUGUGCGUCAGGAGGUGGCAGAGAGGAGAGAGGCUAUGUCUAUGCUCAAUGUUCUGACCUGUGAACAUCUGAGUGAUUAGUAGCCUACCAUU
Molecule: small nucleolar RNA, 132 nt
Organism: Grammomys surdaster
Lineage: Eukaryota; Metazoa; Chordata; Mammalia; Rodentia; Muridae
Product: small nucleolar RNA SNORA17
Exons: 1
Source: RefSeq, a predicted model, not a curated record